AAUCAACGCUGGCGGCGUGCCUAACACAUGCAAGUCGAACGCGACUGGGGACUUCGGUUCCCAGUUGAGUGGCGAACGGGUGAGUAACACGUGGGUGAUCUACCUUCGAGUGGGGGAUAACGUUCCGAAAGGAACGCUAAUACCGCAUGACGUUCCGGGUUUGAAGACCUGGAAACCAAAGCCGGGGACCGCAAGGCCUGGCGCUCAAAGAGGAGCCCGCGUCCGAUUAGCUAGUUGGCGGGUAACGCCACCAGGCGACGAUCGGUAGCCGGCCUGAGAGGGCGGACGGCCACACUGGGACUGAGACACGGCCCAGACUCCUACGGGAGGCAGCAGUGGGGAAUUGUUCGCAAUGGGCGCAAGCCUGACGACGCAACGCCGCGUGGGGAUGAAGGUCUUCGGAUUGUAAACCCCUGUCGAGCGGGGACGAAUGGCUCACGAGCUAAUCAAUCGUGAGAAUGACGGUACCG
RNAcentral lists this ribosomal RNA (470 nucleotides) under uncultured bacterium. Its description in RNAcentral is "bacterial SSU rRNA". It matches the Rfam family "Bacterial small subunit ribosomal RNA", at positions 29 to 480 of the family's 1533-position model. The record is from RNAcentral.